UCAGGUAUAAAAAGGAAUAAAUAAUUUUUUCCUCCAACAGAUCAACCGUGUUGAUAUAACUUCUCUAAACCAGUUUCUGUCUGAUAUGUCAGC
This is a small nucleolar RNA of Cynocephalus volans (Philippine flying lemur), 93 nucleotides long. RefSeq annotates it as small nucleolar SNORD12/SNORD106. Lineage: Eukaryota; Metazoa; Chordata; Mammalia; Dermoptera; Cynocephalidae. The record is from RefSeq and is a predicted model, not a curated record. The transcript has a single exon.